AUUGAACGCUGGCGGAAUGCUUUACACAUGCAAGUCGAACGGCAGCACGGACUUCGGUCUGGUGGCGAGUGGCGAACGGGUGAGUAACAUAUCGGAACGUAUCCAAUAAUGGGGGAUAACUAAUCGAAAGGUUGGCUAAUACCGCAUACGCCCUGAGGGGGAAAGCUAGGGAUCUUCGGACCUGGCGUUAAUGGAGCGGCCGAUAUCUGAUUAGCUAGUUGGUGAGGUAAAGGCUCACCAAGGCGACGAUCAGUAGCUGGUCUGAGAGGACGACCAGCCACACUGGAACUGAGACACGGUCCAGACUCCUACGGGAGGCAGCAGUGGGGAAUUUUGGACAAUGGGCGCAAGCCUGAUCCAGCCAUGCCGCGUGCAGGAAGAAGGCCUUCGGGUUGUAAACUGCUUUUGUACGGAACGAAACGGUCCUUUUUAAUACAGGGGGCUAAUGACGGUACCGUAAGAAUAAGCACCGGCUAACUACGUG
This 484-nucleotide ribosomal RNA is filed under the name uncultured bacterium. RNAcentral describes it as "bacterial SSU rRNA". It matches the Rfam family "Bacterial small subunit ribosomal RNA", at positions 30 to 507 of the family's 1533-position model. The record is from RNAcentral.